GAUGAAGAACGCAGCGAAAUGCGAUAAGUAAUGUGAAUUGCAGAAUUCCGUGAAUCAUCGAAUCUUUGAACGCACAUUGCGCCCCCUGGCAUUCCGGGGGGCAUGCCUGUCCGAGCGUCAUUUCUGCCCUCAAGCGCGGCUUGUGUGUUGGGUGUGGUCCCCCCGGUGUUCGGGGGGGACCUGCCCGAAAGGCAGCGGCGACGCCCGCCUAGGUCCUCGAGCGUAUGGGGCUUUGUCACCCGCUCGGGAAGGGCCUACGGGUGUUGGUCAUCCCUCAAAUCUUUUUUUUUACGGUUGACCUCGGAUCAGGUAGGAGUUACCCGCUGAACUUAAGCAUAUCAAUAAGCGGAGGA
RNAcentral lists this unclassified non-coding RNA (353 nucleotides) under soil metagenome. Its description in RNAcentral is "partial contains 5.8S ribosomal RNA, internal transcribed spacer 2, and large subunit ribosomal RNA". The stretch from base 1 to 120 matches the Rfam family "5.8S ribosomal RNA", at positions 35 to 154 of the family's 154-position model. The record is from RNAcentral.